CAGCACCUCAAGUGGUCCGGAUGAUUAUUGGGCCUAAAGCAUCCGUAGCCGGCGCUGUAAGUUUUCGGUUAAAUCUGUACGCUCAACGUACAGGCUGCCGGGAAUACUGCAGCGCUAGGGAGUGGGAGAGGUAGACGGUACUCGGUAGGAAGGGGUAAAAUCCUUUGAUCUAUUGAUGACCACCUGUGGCGAAGGCGGUCUACCAGAACACGUCCGACGGUGAGGGAUGAAAGCUGGGGGAGCAAACCGGAUUAGAUACCCGAGUAGUCC
Molecule: ribosomal RNA, 270 nt
Filed under: uncultured archaeon
Lineage: Archaea
Description: partial 16S ribosomal RNA
Rfam family: Archaeal small subunit ribosomal RNA
Source: RNAcentral